RNAcentral lists this ribosomal RNA (325 nucleotides) under uncultured eukaryote. RNAcentral's name for it is "partial 18S ribosomal RNA". It matches the Rfam family "Eukaryotic small subunit ribosomal RNA", at positions 1470 to 1796 of the family's 1831-position model. The record is from RNAcentral.
CCCUUAGAUGUCCUGGGCCGCACGCGCGCUACACUGAUGCAUUCAACGAGCUUUACCUUGGCCGAGAGGCCUGGGCAAUCUUUUAAACCUGCAUCGUGAUAGGGAUAGAUUAUUGCAAUUAUUAAUCUUGAACGAGGAAUUCCUAGUAAACGCAAAUCAUCAAUUUGCAUUGAUUACGUCCCUGCCCUUUGUACACACCGCCCGUCGCACCUACCGAUUGAAUGGUCCGGUGAAGCCUCGGGAUUGUGGCCAGUUCACUUUAUUGGGAGUUGGCUGUGAGAACUUGUCUAAACCUUAUCAUCUAGAGGAAGGUGAAGUCGUAACA